CUUUCAAUCACAAAUUUCUUACAUCAAGGAAAUAACAGGUCUAUUCUAUGAUUCCAUAAGAUGGAGUAGAAUUGUGCUACAAUGCUAGCUUAGUUUGGAAUUGUAAACUGUAUUAACACAAGAAUAAUUCUGCCAUAGGUUUACUUCACUCAUUGGUUGAAUAAUUUGGAAGACAUAUCAUGAAAUGGGCUUUCCAUAAUAUACUGGCUACAAAACCUGUUACAGAGUCCAUUCCAGGACUUCAAGUGGUUUUCUCUAUAUAUACCUUUCAAAGGUCAUAAGAGUAAAGUCACCUCAAAUCUCCUUCACCAAAAAGGCAAACGAGAGAGGACCUCAGAUAAUGAGAGACUUUGACCUAUUCCUGUAGAACAUUGCUUUUCAUUUCAUU
Molecule: long non-coding RNA, 388 nt
Filed under: Monodelphis domestica (gray short-tailed opossum)
Lineage: Eukaryota; Metazoa; Chordata; Mammalia; Didelphimorphia; Didelphidae
Description: lncRNA (ENSMODG00000047439.1)
Source: RNAcentral